Molecule: long non-coding RNA, 85 nt
Organism: Sander lucioperca (pikeperch)
Lineage: Eukaryota; Metazoa; Chordata; Actinopteri; Perciformes; Percidae
Exons: 3
Source: RefSeq, a predicted model, not a curated record
AGUCAGUGUGGUGCAUACAGUAAUAAAUACGGGGAAUACGUACGAAUUACAGUGCCUUACUUUUUGUAAUUUGUAAAAAACGAGA